UUCUCAAUCUAUCAUAGUACUUGUUCUAUACUCUAUAGCACUAAAAAAAAAAUACUUAUUCAUUAUGUCAGAAUCAUACAUAAAACUUUAUACCCCUUUCGCCCUUUCGUUAUUUUUAAUUAGAUGGUUACAGUUACUACAUACUCACAUAGAAGUAUAUAUUAAGGUAAGGUGAGGAGAGGUAGAGUUGUGUGGGGGAAACAUGAGGAAUAGUGAAGCAGAGAGGCGAGGCCAUUUAUGACAUUUUAUAGGAUCGGAGCUAAAAUUUUGCCACCAAGUAACUUUUUAGGGUAAAUAUAGCAUUAUAUGUAAAACAUAUAUUAUUUUCGACAGUUAGAGCUUACAAACACUUAAGUCAAGAUUAUCCUAAAUUGGUCAAGAAAGAGGUAUGCAACCAUUACAUAUGUAGCCAAAAAAAACGCUAAUAAUGUUAAAAUAAGUAAAGGAACUUUUAAAAUGAAUUAUUUCGUCCCAUAUCACUCCUUACUGUUAUCAAGGAUUCAAGGUACAUACCUUUAGAUUAUAAGUAUCAACUGUUAUUGUAUAGGAUAGGUAAAUGUGAUGCGAGGUAGUAGAAAGAUUAUUUUAUUUGGAGCAAGGAGAGUGUCGAGUCAAAUUUUUCAUAGAAGGAUUAAACUAACAAUGGAUCAUAUUAAAAAUUAAAGUAAAAAACUUAUAUGGACUUGGUUUACACCUAAAUUAGUAUGGAUAUAUUGCUAAUUCAUGUUGUUUAUGAAAAAACAAUGGUCACUAUAUAAAGAAAUAGAUAUAAAUUAUGAGUAGAUAUAGAUUUUGACUAUGUAAAAAAAUAAAUUACUAUGUUAAAAAGUGAAAGUAUUAUUAUGAUAUUUAAUGUGAGAUGGACUGACUGUAUUAGAAAAAACAAUCGCUAUGGUAGAUAAUAACUGUAUAGUGUAACUUAAGAUUUUAAAAGAUUACUAUAUGUAAAAAAAAGGUCACUAUCUCUAUUAUAUAAGCUAAGGGGGGAACAAUGGUGUCCCCUUUUGAAUUUAGAUAUUCACCCCUCCAAAAUUUAAAACCAUUACACACAUAAACUUACUAAAAAAAAUUCAACCAAAUCUCUAUUAAACCCAACAAACUCAUACAGUUGUAAAUCACAUAAACUUGCCAAUAAAAAGAUGCAAUCAAAUUAAAUUUAGAUCCAAUCAACUAAAAAAUUUCGUAAUCAAGAACUUAACAAAAAUUAAUACCACGGACAAUAAAAAAAAUGACAUUCUCAUUAUAAAGACAACUCAUAUACAAAAUUAAUCACAAAUACAAAGUUAAAAAAAAAUUCAAUUUUUUCAUUACUUGGAUAUACAAUUUUAUCACUGAUAGUUACUUUAGAAAUAUUUUUAGAUACUAUUUAUAAGUAAUUAAAUACUUCUUACUCACCAAAUGAAGGUGAACGUAGAUACGUACUUUAAUAAUUUUAUUUAUUUCUUUUAAUACCGAGUAAUAGUUAUGCCUAAAAUGUCACCGCACGCAUAGCGUGCAGAAAAAGCUAGUGUUAAAUUAGUGGCUUUGGUCCACAAUACUAUUAUUGUGAAACAUGUACACGCAAGACUAACUAAAAAAUAAAAGUUUAAAGAGUAAUAUAAGAUAAAUAAAAAUAGAAAGUGUAAAAAAUAUUGUGGGAUGGAGGGAUUAGAAAAGAAAAUGUAAAAAGAUGUUUAGUACGAAAUAGUAAACUUUCCUCGAAAUUAUAGUAAACUUUCUUAACCUGGUUCCAGCAAGAAAUUUCAAAAUGAAUUAAUAAUAUUUAAAUAAAAAUGUAUAGUAAAUGUAAAAUGGGCCAUCCAUUUGCUGAUGUUUCUCACCAUCUUGGUUUCAAACCUGCAUCUUCUACAUGAGUUGAAUUGCUGCAAACUAGUAAGCCAAUCUGAGUUUUAAUAAAUAUGGCAGCUAUUCUUCCAUACAUAAUGGGCGUGUUCGGCAACAAUAGUUGUGGUGGUAGCUUUUAGCUGUGAGAGUAGAUGUUAGUUGUACUGGUAGCUGUUAGUGGUUGGUGUGUGGCUGUUAACUGUUAUUAGAUGUCCAAGUAGCGGUAUAAAAGAAUAUGUCAAAGUAGUUGUUUAAGAAUAACUAGUUAAAAACUCAAAUAAAACUUUAACAUAUAUAUAAUUUAUACACCACUAAAACCUACCCCAAAAGUUAUAAUUGUAGCUUUUGACAAACACUACUAAAGACUACUUUUUGCUACUAAAAGCUACUUACACGCACCACUACCUUGCCGAACAUUCUUAUUUUCUCUAAUUAGUGUUUUGACCGAGUCAAGACACUAAAAGUUACAUAAAAAGCUUGUGUCGAACACGCCGAAUGUCUUGUAAAAUUUGAGCCCCUUGUGUUUAUGGCCCUGGGCGGGUGGCCCCACUUGCCCCGGCCCAAGGAUGGCCCUGUAGAGAUGUAAUCCAAUUACCUGUUUCACAAAUCACAAGUCAAAUUUUGGUCUUUUUUGUUUUCAAGUUCCUAUAAUCUUUCCCUCUUUCUUCGUUCCACUCAACACGUUGCCAUUACUAAUUAGAGCGCAUGAUAUUUUUUUAUCUGUUAAAUUGAUUAUAUAUGUAUGCAGACCAAUAUAAGA
Beta vulgaris subsp. vulgaris (sugar beet) is the source of this 2584-nucleotide long non-coding RNA. RefSeq lists it as uncharacterized. Lineage: Eukaryota; Viridiplantae; Streptophyta; Magnoliopsida; Caryophyllales; Amaranthaceae. The record is from RefSeq and is a predicted model, not a curated record. The transcript is spliced from 2 exons.